RNAcentral lists this ribosomal RNA (582 nucleotides) under uncultured bacterium. RNAcentral describes it as "bacterial SSU rRNA". It matches the Rfam family "Bacterial small subunit ribosomal RNA", at positions 834 to 1412 of the family's 1533-position model. The record is from RNAcentral.
GUCUCUUCGGUGAUGCACUUAACAGAUUAAGCAUUCCGCCUGGGGAGUACGGUCGCAAGAUUAAAACUCAAAGGAAUAGACGGGGACCCGCACAAGUGGUGGAGCAUGUGGUUUAAUUCGAAGAUACACGAAGAACCUUACCUGGCCUUGACAUCCCGAGAACCUUUAAGAGAUUAGAGGGUGCUAGCUUGCUAGAACUCGGUGACAGGUGCUGCACGGCUGUCGUCAGCUCGUGUCGUGAGAUGUUGGGUUAAGUCCCGCAACGAGCGCAACCCUCGUCGUUAGUUGCUAACAGUUCGGCUGAGCACUCUAACGAGACUGCCUUCGUAAGGAGGAGGAAGGUGAGGACGACGUCAAGUCAUCAUGGCCCUUAUGGCCAGGGCUACACACGUGCUACAAUGGGGCGUACAGAGAGCUGCAAUACCGCGAGGUGGAGCCAAUCUCAUAAAGCGUCUCUCAGUUCGGAUUGUUCUCUGCAACUCGAGAACAUGAAGCUGGAAUCACUAGUAAUCGUAGAUCAGCUAUGCUACGGUGAAUACGUUCCCGGGUCUUGUACUCACCGCCCGUCACACCAUGGGAGUU